RNAcentral lists this ribosomal RNA (60 nucleotides) under Colletotrichum gloeosporioides. RNAcentral describes it as "partial 18S ribosomal RNA". It matches the Rfam family "Eukaryotic small subunit ribosomal RNA", at positions 1778 to 1831 of the family's 1831-position model. The record is from RNAcentral. Lineage: Eukaryota; Fungi; Ascomycota; Sordariomycetes; Glomerellales; Glomerellaceae.
GGAAGUAAAAGUNGUAACAAGGUCUCCGUUGGGGAACCAGCGGAGGGAUCAUUACUGAGU